AUUCAAUUACCGCCGGGUAAUAAGGCGCAUUUGCGUCGGAAUUCAUGUCAUUAGGCCAUAGAAGACAUGAAUCCCGACGCUUUUUAUUU
This 89-nucleotide non-coding RNA is filed under the name unclassified sequences. The record is from RNAcentral.